RNAcentral lists this long non-coding RNA (548 nucleotides) under Vigna radiata. RNAcentral describes it as "long non-coding RNA (VRAD_LNC001661)". The record is from RNAcentral. Lineage: Eukaryota; Viridiplantae; Streptophyta; Magnoliopsida; Fabales; Fabaceae.
GUGAUGUAUGUGAUCUGUUGCUUGAGUAAGUAGGGGGAAGGGAAGGGAGGUAUGCAUUGUACUGAGUAAAUUGGCAUUAAUCUAGGUUCUGUUUAAGGGAAGUGAAGUAGUGAAAUUUUGAUUUAGGAGUCAUUGGCAUAUUUGGAAUGUUGGGGCAUCUUAGGCAAGUCAAAUGUGACUUGUAGGGCGCAUUAGAGUGGUCUAAAACCUGUUCAUAACGAGAUAAUUGAAAUGGGGUCUUUUAGUGGAGCAAUUUGGUGUUAUAGGGUGGGAAAUAUACUUUGAUCAUCCUAGAAUUGUAGUAAGAAGGUUUGGGAACGUCUAGACAGGAUUAAUUAGGUCUAAAACAAGAAUUUGAGAUGUUAGAAGUUGAGGAAAGUGAGUGAAAUUGGUAAAAAGGGAUUGAGAGACGCAUAAUUCUGUAGAUUAUGAAAUCUCGCUAUGCGGAUGGUUUCGCAUAGCGAGACCUUGGAAAGGGUGCUCUCUGUCUUGCGAUUCGCAUAGCGCAUCAUUGUCGCGAUGCGACUGGGAGAAACUGAGAUUUUAUG